UUUGUCAUUCUCCAUUUACAUACUCUCUCAUCCGAUUCGGGUCGGGUUUGCAUUAUCGGAAUACUUCGCCGGAAAAUUCUUAGUCGACGUAGCGAAAAUGGCGGUAUCCCUAGUGACGAGGCUCGUGCGGCGGCGAUCGCCGUCGCUUCUCUGGCGGCGCAGCUUUUCUAUGUCGGCAGUGGAUGCCGAAAAGGAAGCCGUGGUCGUGCCGGAGCUUCCGCCGUUCGAUUACUCCCCGCCGCCGUAUGCGGGCCCCACCGCUGAGGAGAUUUUGGCGAAGCGCAGGGAGUAUAUGAGUCCUUCCAUCUUGCAUUCAUACAAGAACCCCAUGAGUCCGUGCUGCACACGAUUAUUUCCCGACAAAUAAUUAUGAGUUUAACGUUGAUCCACUUGAGUAGUGUAUAAGUAACUCAUCAUUUAAAAGUUUUUACCAUGUGAACCAGUUAAUCUUAUAAUUUUUUAUUUAAUUUUUGUAAUACAAAAUUGUUGUAUGUUGGUUGAUUAACAACCAUUAGUUAAUUCUUUUACUCUUUACCAACUUAGUAUUUUUCUAUUUUCUGUUAUAGCAUGUAAGAGUUAAUUAGUUUUAAGUUGGUUGCGUUAGUUGGGCUAGAAAUAGUACUUUUAUUUCUUCUUCUUGCAUAGCCUAAUUUUGUAGAGAGCUUUGUACAUAGAAAAUUCUGCAGAGAUUGAAUAAAAGUGGCUACUGAGUUCUGUGCAGUUUUUUUGGUUCAUUUUUUUUUUUUGCAUUUUGCUUAUUCUUGUUCAUACAAGAAACUCAUUCUUUUGUGAAGAAAAAUCUGAUCUUGGCACAACAAAUUGGUGCGAUGAGCAUGGAGUGAUUUUGAGUUUGAUUCAAGAAAUGAGCUCGACCAAGUAUGAGGUUGAAAAAUUCACAGGACAAAAUGAUUUUGGGCUAUGACGAUUGAAGAUGAGAGCUCUUCUUGUUCAGCAGGACCUGGUGGAAGCACUUGAUGGAGAAGCCAAACUUGAAAAGAUGAAUGCUGAUGGGGAUAAGAAAGCACUACUGCAGAAGGCACACAGUGCAAUUAUCCUCAGUCUCGGAGACAAAGUGCUGAGGCAAGUCUCUAAGGAAACAACUGCUGCUGGGGUUUGGUCAAAACUUAAAGGUUUGUACAUGACCAAAUCUUUAGUUAAUCGUCUUUACCUAAAGCAGUCUUUGUAUUCAUUUAAAAUGCAUGAAGAUAGAUCAGUGGGAGAACAAUUGGAUUUGUUUAAUAAAUUGAUUCUAGAUCUUGAAAAUAUUGAUGUCACUAUUGAUGAUGAGGAUCAAGCUUUGUUAUUGUUGUGCUCUUUGCCUAAGAGUUACUCUCAUUUCAAAGAGACUUUAUUGUUUGGAAGAGAUUUUGUUUCUCUUGAUGAAGUGCAGACUGCUCUGAAUUCAAAGGAAUUGAAUGAAAGAAAGGAAAAGAAGUCAUCUACAAGUGGUGAAGGGCUGACAGCAAGAGGCAAGACCUUCAAGAAAGAUAGUAAAUUUGAUAAGAAGAAGCAAAAGCCAGAAAAUCAGAAGAAUGGUGAAGGAAACAUCUUCAAAAUCAAAUGUUAUCAUUGUAAAAAGGAGGGUCAUACAAGGAAAGUUUGUACUGAAAGGCAGAAAAAUGGUGGCAGUAACAAUAGGAAGAAGGACUCAAGAAAUGCUGCAAUUGUUCAAGAUGAUGGCUUUGAAUCUGCAGAGGCACUGAUGGUGUCUGAAAAGAAUCCAGAAACUAAAUGGAUAAUGGAUUCAGGGUGUUCAUGGCAUAUGACACCAAAUAGAUCAUGGUUUGAACAAUUUUCUGAUCAAGCAGAUGGGUUAGUACUCCUUGGAGAUAACAACCCUUGCAAAAUUGAAGGAAUUGGAUCUAUAAGAUUCAAGUUUCAUGAUGGGGCUGAAAGAAUUCUCACAGAGGUCAGAUAUGUACCUGAGUUGAAGAGAAAUUUAAUCUCUCUUGGUGAAUUUGAUAAAAGAGGGUAUGUGUUCAAGGGUGAAAAAGGAAUACUGAAUGUAGUUAAAGACUCCAUGGUUGUCAUGAGGGGAAUUAUGGAGAAUGGCCUCUAUUCUGUAGAUGGUGAAGUUGUAAUUGGCUCUGCAGCCACUGCAAUCGGAAGAGUUUUAUCAAAAACUGAGUUAUGGCACAUGAGGUUGGGUCAUGUAAGUGAGAAGGGGUUGAUUGAACUAGCAAAACAAGAGCUGCUAUGUGGGGAUAUAAUGGAAAGAUUAAAGUUCUGUGAACAUUGUGUCUAUGGCAAAGCCUGCAGAGCCAAAUUCAAUGCAGGACAACAAAGAACAAAAGGUACCCUUGAUUAUGUUCAUGCUGAUCUUUGGGGUCCAACCAAGACUCCCUCUCAUUCUGGAGCAAGGUAUUUCUUGAGCAUUGUGGAUGACUACUCAAGGAAGUUGUGGAUCUACAUUCAGAAAACAAAAAAUGAGGCUUUUGAUAACUUCAAAAGCUGGAAAACACUUGUGGAAAACCAAACAGGCAGGAAGAUCAAGAGACUCCGUACUGAUAAUGGUCUUGAGUUCUGUUCUGAACCUUUCAAUGAUUUCUAUAAAGAGAAUGACAUUGCAAGGAACAUGACAGUUGCAAGCACCCCUCAACAAAAUGGUUUAGCUGAAAGAUUCAACAAGACCAUUUUGGAGAUAGUGAGAUGUAUGUUGUUGAGUGCAGGAUUACCCAAGAUUUUUUGGGCUGAAGAAACAAUGACUGUUGUAUAUCUCAUCAACAAGUGUCCUUCAACAGCUCUGAAUUUCAAAACCACUGAGGAGAUUUGGUCUGGUCGUCCACCGAGUCUAAAACAACUAAAGGUAUUUGGCUGUGUUGCCUAUCCUCACAUCAAGCAAGACAAAUUGGAACCUAGAGCUGUCAAGUGUAUUUUUCUAGGAUAUCCUGAAGGAGUGAAAGGGUAUAAGUUGUGGUGUUUGGAGGCUGGUUUUAAGAGGUGUUUAGUGAGUUGUGAUGUUGUCUUCAAUGAAGCUGAGAUGGCCUACAAGACCAAGCCCAACAUGGUUCAGUCCAGCACUGAUCAGAGUAAGGAAACUGAUUCUGAAAAAUUAAAUGUUGAGGUGGAGACUAAGGAUAAACAUGCUGAAACACAAGUUGUUAAUUGGCCUCUUGAUGAAGAAAAAUCUGAAGAAGAGGAACAAGAAGAAGCUGACUAUGUGUUGGCUCGAGAUAAAAUUAGAAGGGAAAUCAAACAACCUAAGAGGUAUGGAUAUGCUGAUCUAAUAGCAUUUGCUCUGGUAGCUGCUAGUGAAGUUUUGGAGGAAGAUCCAAAAACUGUUAAAACUGUCUUAGCUAGUAAGGAGAAAGAAAAAUGGCUAAGUGCCAUGAAUGAAGAGAUUAAGUCUCUCCAUGACAACCAUACAUGGGAAUUGAUUAAAAAACCACCUGGUUCUAGAGUGGCCAGCUGCAAAUGGAUCUUCAAGAAGAAAGAAGGCAUCCAAGGAGUUGAACUAGGCAGAUUUAAAGCUAGACUUGUUGCUCGAAGAUUCACUCAAAAGGAGGGAAUUGAUUUCAAUGAAGUUUUCUCUCCUGUAGUGAAACACAUGUCAAACAGAAUUCUUAUGGCUAUGGUGGCAGAAUUUGAUCUUGUGUUAGAACAAAUGGAUGUGAAGACAACAUUUUUGUAUGGGAAGCUUGAUGAGGUGAUAUUGAUGAAACAACCCGAGGGGUUUGAAGUCAAAGGUAAAGAGGAUUAUGUUUGCAAAUUAAACAAAUCCCUGUAUGGUCUAAAACAGUCCUCAAGACAAUGGAAUAGGAGAUUUGAUGAAUUUAUGGCUAACAUACAGUUUCAUAGAAGUCACUAUGAUAACUGUGUUUACUUCAAAUUUCCUUCAAAAGUUGAAUUUGGGGUAUUGCUAUUAUAUGUUGAUGAUAUUUUGAUAGCAAGUAACAACAAGAGUGAUGUUGAAAAAUUGAAAUCUGAGUUGAGCAGGGAAUUUGAAAUGAAGGAUUUGGGAGCAGCCAAGAGAAUAUUGGGAAUAGAAAUCAAACGGGACAGAAAAAGGAAAUGGUUGUAUUUGUCCCAAGAGUUAUAUCUCAGAAAAGUUCUUGAAAGGUUUGGAAUGUCAAAUUCCAAACCUGUAACUACUCCUAUGUCACAACAGUUUAAGCUCAGUACAAGUCAAGCACCUAAGACACAUGAUGAUAUAAUUUACAUGAAAGGUAUUCCAUAUGCUAAUGCUAUAGGGUCAUUGAUGUAUGCUAUGGUAUGUACUCGCCCUGACAUAGCUAAUACAGUGAGCUUAGUAAGUAGGUUCAUGGCAAAUCCAGGCAAAGCACAUUGGCAAGCCCUGGAAUGGAUACUCAGAUAUAUCAGAGGAUCACUUGGAAGAGUUCUGGUUUAUGGUGGAGCUAGGAAUAGCAAAAGAACAGUUGCUAUUGAAGGUUUUGUAGAUUCUGAUUAUGCUGGCUGUUUAGAUUCAAGGAAAUCUCUCACAGGAUUUGUGUUCACUGCUUUUGGCACUAGAAUUAGUUGGAAAGCUAGCCUUCAAAAGGUAGUGGGUUUAUCAACCACUGAAGCGGAGUAUAUUGCUCUUACAGAAACUGUGAAAGAAUCUACGUGGCUUGAAGGCAUUGCAAAGGAGCUAAAGAUACAAAAUGAAGUGAUCACAGUACACUGUGACAACCAAAGUGCCAUUGAUUUAUCCAAAAAUUCUGUGCAUCAUGAGAGGACAAAGCACAUUGAUAUUAAACUGUAUUUUAUCAGAGAAGUUAUUGAUCAAGGAUCAGUUAUAGUCAAGAAGAUUUCAACUGAUCACAAUCCUUCUGAUAUGAUCACAAAGGCUUUUCCAAGUAGCAAGUUUUUCCAUUGUUUGGACCUAAUUCAGCUGAAGGGUGAUUAACUCUUGUUUCUGAAGCAACCACUGGUUUUGUUAAUGUUUUGUUAUUGAACCAAGGUGGAGAAUUGUUGUAUGUUGGUUCAUUAACAACCAUUAGUUAGUUCUUUUACUCUUUACCAACUUAGUAUUUUUCUAUUUUCUGUUAUAGCAUGUAAGAGUUAAUUAGUUUUAAGUUGGUUGUGUUAGUUGGGCUAGAAAUAGUACUUCUAUUUCUUCUUCUUGCAUAGCCUAAUUUUGUAGAGAGUUCUGUACAUAGAAAAUUCUGCAGAAAUUGAAUAAAAGUGGCUACUGAGUUCUGUGCAGUUUUUUUGGUUCAUUUUUUUUUUUUUGCAUUUUGCUUAUUCUUGUUCAUACAAGAAACUCAUUCUUUUGUGAAGAAAAAUCUAAUCUUGGCUCAACAUGAAAUUUUAAGAUUUAAUAAAUAUUUAAAUUAUUUUUUAAGAAAAAAAUAUUUACAUUGUAUUUUUACUGCAAAUAUUUACACUAUUAGUAUUUAGGACAAGUAUUAUUUACUUUAUUUAUUAAUAUAAAUAUACUUAUUAUUUGUUGACAAGUUGAUAUUUUAUGUGUCAAUGGUACAUAUUAAUUUUUAAUUAAAUUGUUAUAAAUUGAAAGUUUUAGCAAUUAUUUAUUUAGUAGACAGCAAGUGAGUAAUUAAAAAUCUUUGUGUACAAGUUAUUGACAAUAUUGAUUGCACAACACUCUAAAAAAAUGAAUUUAAUUGUUAUGAAUUCAUGUUAUUUGUGAUUAAACUGCGUGCUGCAUUAAAACAAAUCCACCAAAAAUAUUCAAUACACGCAAUAUUGGUUACAUUCAACCCUUGUUUUCAGAAAACAUCUUCCUUGCUUUUACGGUGAAAGUGAAUUGGACUUCAUGUCAUCACAGCAUUUGAAACAACAAAACAAACAUGAUGAUGUAUCAUUCGAUAAAUGUUUUCGUAGUUAAUUAAACAAAUUCAGUUACAAAGUCUCGUAAUUUACGUUUACAAAAUUUAAAAGUGUAAGUAAUGAAUAAGUUAUAUAAUUACUAAAAACCAAUACAUAUUUAAUCUUGAUGAAUGAGAAAGAAUUAAAAGAAAUGGUUGUGUGGGGGUGGUGGUGCAGGUGAACAUAGUGGAGGGUAAGAAGCAGUACCUGUUCGACGAGAAGGGGAAAAGGUAGUUCGGAGGGAUUGCUAGGGUGUGCUGCGGGCACUGUCACCAUGAUGUGGUGGAGGCCAUAGCCAACCAAACCAAGAAGUUGCAGCACUCCACUGUUCUCUACCUUAACCACGCCAUCACCGAUUUCGCUCAAGCUUUGGCCUCCCAACUUUCCGGUGAUCUCAAGGUUUGCCUCCUUUUCCCACACUCUUCUCGUUACAAAUCCUUAAUUAUUUUAUUUGGUUUAAUUACUCGUUUGAUUAUACAUAUUAACUUUUAAACAUGUUUUAUCCUUAAUUCACAUGUAAUUUUUUUUAUUCUGGUCUCUAUACAUGUUUUAGUUUGAUGCAAAAAUUAGUAUUCUUUGCAUUAGAUGGACGUGUGUCACUCUCCUUUAACGUUUAAGCAAACAAAUAUAUUUUUAAUUACUCGUUUGAUUCAUGUACAUGUAACGUGUAACGUGUGAACUCUUUAACAUGUUGGAGUCCGGCACAAGUGUAUCAAUUAUUUAGUUUAGUCUCUGUCUAUAUUUAAUUUUAGUUAUUUGAAAGAAAAAAUAUUUUUAACUAUAAAUUUAUUAUUGUUAAAUAUGAAAACUGGAUUUUUUUAGAGUUUUUUAAAUAUUAAAACUGGAUUUUUAAAAUAUUUUUUGUUUUAAAACUUGCAUAAUUGUCAUAAUUUUUAUGUUAAAAAAUUGUAAUGAUUUAAAUGAAGACAAAAGUGAAUGAGAAACGUUACUUUCAACGUUAACAAUAAUUGUUUCUUUAUUCUCAUUUGCAAAUAUAAAAUUAUAUCAUUAGCUGGAUUUCCAAACCAAUAGGGAUUCUGGAUACAUGAGAUUUUGUUUUUAUUAAGCAGUGGCGGAACUUGAAUUCAUUGUAUGAGGGGAAAAAUUAUAUUUUUAUUUUAAGAUCAAAGAUGGUAUGAAUUAUUCAUUGUGAAUCAUUAGAGGCUGAGAGUCUAUAAAAAAGUGUUUUAAUCUUAUAAGGUAUUUGACUACUACUUAAACAAUAAUAGUUGUAACUACUUAAACAAUAAUUCGUGUUAACAUGUACCUUUUGACUGAACUACUUUUUUUGAGAAGGUGUAACUAAAAUGAAUUUUGUUAAUUUGGUACGGGCUCCAAUAGACAAAGAAAUCACCCAGACAAAUAAUAGUUGUUCUUACUCCAAAAUUGGAGGAUCCUUAGCUCCAAUAACCAUUAGAUGUUAGAUAUGAAAUUCAAAAUUUUGGGAGCAGGUGCCACGUAAGCCACUGUCCCAAGAGAUGGGCAUGUUUUAAUGAUAGAGGUAGAGUUUGUUAUUUUAUUUUUAAAAUAUUGCUUUCUGUGUCCAUAUAUAUAUAUAUAUAUAUAUAUAUAUAUGUUAAUGGGGUUCAUGGGACUGAGAUGCCACUGGUUGCGUGGCAUGGUAUGAUGCUAGCACAUGGUUUUGUACCAAACAAUAAAUAAUAUGCAUAUCAUUGACAUUUGAUGGAUAUAUGAACGAUCCCUGUUAAGUUUAUAUCAACAGGAUGGACUUUUAUUGAUGAAAAAAUAUAUAGUACUAAAAAAAACUAUAUUGCAAAUUAUGAAAUAUCAGUUCGGGCUAAUAAUAUAAAUAUGUGAACUAGAUUAGGUUAUCUCAUUCUUAUAUAUUCAAGUUUAAUUUUGUUAGUUUAUUAAAGGUUCAACUGCAAUGCUUUACUUUUCAUAAUCUUAAAUUUUAAUGUGAAUAGUUUGCUUUCGACUUGAUUGAUAUAGUAAAUUAAUUGAGAUGUGCGUAAAUUUUUUUCCCACCAUGACAUAAAAAACAAAUCUUACACACAUCUCGAUUAUUUAAGCAUAAUCUAAUUGUAAUAUCACUCAACAACUAAUAAAUAUAUAUGAUUAAAUUUUUUUUAUAUGAAUAAUAUUUGGCAACUGAUUAUAUUUGCUUAACUGUAUAUUACUUAAUUUAAUUUUAAUUAGAGAAUCACGUUUGAAAUUACUAGUACAAUAGAUUUACUAGAUACUGUUUCAAUGUUAGAUAUAUUUUUUUAGUAACCUUUCAAUUUGAUGAUAAUGAGUGAAAGUGGCUCGUGAAAAUAGAAUUAGUAAAGAUAUCUAUAUUUAUGUGAUGAUUAUUUGAAAUAAUAAACCUUUUGUCUUUGUUUGUUAUAUAUUUCACCAGGUGGUGUUUUUCACAAACUCUGGAAAAGAAGCAAACGAAUUGGCCAUGUUGAUAGCAAGGUUGUACACCGGGUGCCAUGACAUAAUAUCUCUCCUCAUCAUCACCCUCUCACCAUUCAUUUCCCUAUAUAAGACUUUCCUAUUCCUCCUUCUUCCUCAUUCUCCAUUUCCACACUCUCUCAUCCGAUUCGGGUCGGGUUUGUGUUAUCGGAACCUUCACCGGAAAAUUCUCAGUCGACGUAGCGAAAAUGGCGGUAUCCCUAGCGACGAGGCUCGUGCGGCGGCGAUCGCCACCGCUUCUCUGGCGGCGCAGCUUUUCUAUGUCGGCAGUGGACGCCGAAAAGGAAGUCGUGGUCGUGCCGGAGCUUCCACCGUUCGAUUACUCCCCGCCGCCAUAUGCGGGCCCCACCGCUGAGGAGAUUCUGGCGAAGCGCAGGGAGUAUCUUAGUCCUUCCAUCUUGCAUUCAUACAAGAACCCUGUGAGUCCGCGCUGCACACGAUUAUUUUCCGACAAAUAAUUAUGAGAGUUUAACGUUGAUCCACUUGAGUAGUGUAUAAGUAACUCAUCAUUUAAAAGUUUUUACCAUGUGAACCAGUUAAUCUUAGAAUUUUUUAUUUAAUUUUGUAAUACAAAAUUUUAAGAUUUAAUAAAUUUUAAACUGUUUUUCAAGAAAAAAAAAUAUUUACAUUGUAUUUUUACUGCAAAUAUUUACACUGUUAGUAUUUAGGACAAGUAUAUAUUAUUUACUUUAUUUAUUAAUAUAAAUAUACUUCUUAUUUGUUGACAAGUUGGUAUUUUAUGUGUCAAUGCUACAUAUUAAUUUUUAAUUAAAUUGUUAUAAUUUGAAAGUUUUAGCAAUUAUUUAUUUAUUUAUUUAGUAGACAGCAAGUGAAAGUAAUUGAAAUGAAUUUAAUUGUUAUGAAUUCAUGUUAUUUGUGAUUAAACUGCGUGCUGCAUUAAAACAAAUCCACCAAAAAUAAUUCAUACACGCAAUAUUGGUUACAUUCAACCCUUGUUUUCAGAAAACAUCUUCCUUGCUUUUAUGGUGAAAGUGGAUUGGACUUCAUGUCAUCACAGCAUUUGAAACAACAAAACAAACACGAUGAUAUACCAUUUGAUAAAUGUUUUCGUAGUUAAUUAAACAAAUUCAGUUACAAAGUCUCGUAAUUUAGAUUUACAAAAUUUAAAAGUGUAAGUAAUGAAUAAGUUAUAUAAUUACUAAAAACCAAUACACAUUUAAUCUUGAUGAAUGAGAAAGAAUUAAAAGAAAUGGUUGUGUGGGGGUGGUGGUGCAGGUGAACAUAGUGGAGGGUAAGAAACAGUACCUGUUCGACGAGAAGGGGAGAAGGUACGUGGAUGCAUUCGGAGGGAUUGCUACGGUGUGCUGCGGGCACUGUCACCAUGAUGUGGUGGAGGCCAUAGUCAACCAAACCAAGAAGUUGCAGCACUCCACUGUUCUCUACCUUAACCACGCCAUCACCGAUUUCGCUCAAGCUUUGGCCUCAAAACUUCCCAGUGAUCUCAAGGUUUGCCUCCUUUUCCCGCACUCUUCUCGUUACAUAUCCUUAAUUAUUUUAUUUGGUUUAAUUACUCAUUUGAUUAUUAUAAAUAUUAGCUUUUAAACAUGUUUUAUUCUUAAUUCACAUGUAAUUUUUUUUAUUCUGG
This 9796-nucleotide long non-coding RNA is filed under the name Glycine max (soybean). Its description in RNAcentral is "long non-coding RNA (GMAX_LNC000518)". Lineage: Eukaryota; Viridiplantae; Streptophyta; Magnoliopsida; Fabales; Fabaceae. The record is from RNAcentral.